UCUCAGGAUGAACGCGGCGGCGUGYCUAUAAUGCAGUCGAGCGAAUGGAUUAAGAGCUUGCUCUUAUGAAGUUAGCGGCGGACGGGUGAGUAACACGUGGGUAACCUGCCCAUAAGACUGGGAUAACUCCGGGAAACCGGGGCUAAUACCGGAUAACAUUUUGAACCGCAUGGUUCGAAAUUGAAAGGCGGCUUCGGCUGUCACUUAUGGAUGGACCCGCGUCGCAUUAGCUAGUUGGUGAGGUAACGGCUCACCAAGGCAACGAUGCGUAGCCGACCUGAGAGGGUGAUCGGCCACACUGGGACUGAGACACGGCCCAGACUCCUACGGGAGGCAGCAGUAGGGAAUCUUCCGCAAUGGACGAAAGUCUGACGGAGCAACGCCSCGUGAGUGAUGAAGGCUUUCGGGUCGUAAAACUCUGUUGUUAGGGAAGAACAAGUGCUAGUUGAAUAAGCUGGCACCUUGACGGUACCUAACCAGAAAGCCACGGCUAACUACGUGCCAGCAGCCGCGGUAAUACGUAGGUGGCAAGCGUUAUCCGGAAUUAUUGGGCGUAAAGCGCGCGCAGGUGGUUUCUUAAGUCUGAUGUGAAAGCCCACGGCUCAACCGUGGAGGGUCAUUGGAAACUGGGAGACUUGAGUGCAGAAGAGGAAAGUGGAAUUCCAUGUGUAGCGGUGAAAUGCGUAGAGAUAUGGAGGAACACCAGUGGCGAAGGCGACUUUCUGGUCUGUAACUGACACUGAGSCGCGAAAGCGUGGGGAGCAAACAGGAUAA
This 774-nucleotide ribosomal RNA is filed under the name Bacillus cereus. RNAcentral's name for it is "bacterial SSU rRNA". The record is from RNAcentral. Lineage: Bacteria; Bacillati; Bacillota; Bacilli; Caryophanales; Bacillaceae.